This is a long non-coding RNA of Jatropha curcas, 1768 nucleotides long. RefSeq lists it as uncharacterized. The record is from RefSeq and is a predicted model, not a curated record. Lineage: Eukaryota; Viridiplantae; Streptophyta; Magnoliopsida; Malpighiales; Euphorbiaceae.
UGACUAAUGUUGAACAUAGAAGAUGAAUUUGUUUGACGGGAUCAAACCUUGGAGACUGCUUAUUAGGUUUAGGGACGAAAGUAGUGAAUUAAGUUAAAACUUAGAGAUUAAAUAGUACUUUCCCUUCUAAAAAAAGUACUCCAUAAAUAGUUUUUGAGAUUUGGAAUUGAGAUUAGGUCCACUUCUCACGUGGGUUGCAUGUGUAAUCUGUUGCUGAAUUGAGUCCUUCCCACUCAUUAGUCAUUCAGCCUUUUAUAUAUGUCGUAUAUGUAUCUAAAUUUUUGAGGAUCUGAUAUGUGUUGUGAGCGGUCACCCUACGCUAUCCAUGGCCGCCUCGUGAUGUCCAUCUAGCAAUUGUAAACCCUAGCCGCCACCAAUACAUAGAUCUAAGGAUUUGUAUGCAAGACCCAAAUUGAUGAGAUUUAUGGCUCCGAAUAAACUUACGCUAUUUGAAUAGCUACUGUCAAAUGGAGACGAAUCAAUCAUGUAUUGGUUUUCUACAAGGACGUCACCGACAGAUGAGUGGACACAGAUGCAGGAUGUGAAAAUGGAAUUUUAGCAGGCAGUUGUUACGCUGCUGCUGAUGUUCUCAAGGUAUUCUAUAAUACAUAGCUAGUUGGUGGAGAAAUCAUGAACUUGACUGCAAGUCCACUUUUCCUCAGUUUUUGCUGGAGCAUGCCAAAGUAUAUCCAGUCAAGUCUUGAGGAACUGAUAAAAAAGUGUGAAUUGAUGACAUAAACAAUAUGGACUACAUGCAAGCAUGCCAAUUUUACUAGUUUUUAGAUAGACAGAUAGAGAAGGAAAGUUUACUGGCAAACAGGCAUGCAAUCUCUUCUUGAGUUGGAGGCUGCCAAGAGGUUCAUGAUCAUCACCAGUCAUGAUUGGACCAUGCAACCAACUGUUGCUGCAGUGAGGCCACCAAUUCCUCCUACACUCCAUGUUGAAGAAAACCAGCCUGCUCAGCAGAAGCCCAGAAACGCAUGCUCAACUUAGCCAGGAGGAGGAUUCUCUGCAUGCAAAGUUUGAAAAGGCUUAACAAUUGUUUGUUGUUUCUUUAAUUUGCACCGGCUAUUAUUACCAUAUCUUUGUCAUCAGAUAAUUAUACAACAAUAAAUAAUCAAAGACAAUUGAAAGAAAACCUCUUUUACAGUUUCACACCUCAUAAAUUUAUGUGGGUUGUCACCAGAAGCUGCCAAUUUUGUUUCCAAGAAAGUGCAAUUUGUUACCCUAGAAAGACCAUACUCUUUCCUUGCUCUUCUCAACAUAUAUGGUUUCUCCAAUUCCCAAAUAAUCAAAAUUAUUAAGUCAUAUUUAACUGUUUUUUUAGCGUAGCUGGUUUGCAAGGUUUGGGCCACAAAAGGCUAAAGGAAGAGUUGGGUAUGACUUAACAAUUUUGGUUAUUUGGGAAUUGGAGAAACCAUGUUUAUCAAGAACAGCAAGGAAAGACUAUGGUUUUUCUGGGGUUACAAAUUGCACUUUCUUGGAAACAGAAUUGGCGGCUUCUGGUGACAACCCACGUGAAUCUAUGUGGUAUGGAACUGUAGAAGAGGUAUGAAACUGUUAACUGUAUUUGUUUAUAAGUUCCAAAAGAGUGUUUUCCUAUUUGAUGCUUGCAUGAUCAAUUAAAUUCUGAUAAGCUAUAAGAUGUGGAAAGAUUAGUCAUCCUAAUUUACUGGUCUUUAGAGUAGUUGAAAUGCCACAGUAUGCUGUGUAGCUGUUAUUGAUAACCUAUUGAUUGUUCUGCAAUGAGAUCAAAGAGGUUAUUUUA